RNAcentral lists this ribosomal RNA (497 nucleotides) under uncultured bacterium. RNAcentral's name for it is "partial 16S ribosomal RNA". It matches the Rfam family "Bacterial small subunit ribosomal RNA", at positions 28 to 507 of the family's 1533-position model. The record is from RNAcentral.
GAUGAACGCUGGCGGCGUGCCUAAUACAUGCAAGUCGAGCGAACAGACCCGAAGCUUGCUUUUCUGAUGUUAGCGGCGGACGGGUGAGUAACAUGUGCAUACCCUACCUCUAAGACUGGGAUAACUUCGGGUAACCGGUGCUGAUACCGGAUAAUAUAUUGAACCGCAUGGUUCAAAAGUGUAAGACGGUCUUGCUGUCACUUAUAGAUGGAUCCGCGGUGCAUUAGGUAGUUGGUAAGGUAACGGCUUACCAAGGCAACGAGGCAUAGCAGACCUGAGAGGGUGAGCGGCCACACUGGAACUGAGAGACGGACCAGACUCCUGAGGGAGGCCGCAGUAGGAAAGCUUGCGCAAGGGGCGAAAGCUUGACGGAGCAACGCAGCGUGAGGGAUGAAGGUCUUCGGAUCGUUGAACGCUGUUAGUAGGGAAGAAGAUAUGUGUAGGUAACUGUGCACAUCGUGACGGUACCUAAUCAGAAAGCCACGGCUAACUACGUG